RNAcentral lists this transfer RNA (63 nucleotides) under Staphylinoidea sp. 5 KM-2017. RNAcentral's name for it is "tRNA-Thr". Lineage: Eukaryota; Metazoa; Arthropoda; Insecta; Coleoptera. The record is from RNAcentral.
GUUUAAAUAAUUUAAAAAAAAAUAUUGGUCUUGUAAACCAAAUUUAAGGAAACUUUUUAAACU